AGUGAACGCUGGCGGUAGGCCUAACACAUGCAAGUCGAACGGCAGCACAGUAGGGGUUGGCCCUUCGGGGGGCCAAGGGCCGGCCGGUUACGGAAAACUCGGAAUCUACUUUUUCCGGGGGGGUUAAGUAAGGAAAAUUUCGCCAAUACCCCAAUCGACCUUACGGUGGAAGGCAGGGGUUCUCGGACCUUGCGCGUAUUGAAGAACCGGAUGUCGGAUAAGCUAGUUGGCGGGGUAAAGGCCCACCAAGGCGACGAUCGGUAGCUGGUCUGAGAGGAUGAUCAGCCACACUGGAACUGAGACACGGUCCAGACUCCUACGGGAGGCAGCAGUGGGGAAUAUUGGACAAGGGGCGCAAGCCUGAUCCAGCCAUACCGCGUGGGUGAAGAAGGCCUACGGGUUGUAAAGCCCUUUUGUUGGGAAAGAAAAGCAGCAGGUUAAUACCCCGCUGUUCUGACGGUACCCAAAGAAUAAGCACCGGCUAACUUCGUG
Molecule: ribosomal RNA, 492 nt
Filed under: uncultured bacterium
Lineage: Bacteria
Description: partial 16S ribosomal RNA
Rfam family: Bacterial small subunit ribosomal RNA
Source: RNAcentral